RNAcentral lists this long non-coding RNA (6632 nucleotides) under Homo sapiens (human). RNAcentral describes it as "HSALNT0145786". The record is from RNAcentral. Lineage: Eukaryota; Metazoa; Chordata; Mammalia; Primates; Hominidae.
CUCUACUAAAAUACAAAAAUUAGCCAGGCGUGGUGGUGUGUAGCUGUAAUCCCAGCUACAUGGGAGGCUGAGGCAGGAGAAUUGCUUGAGCCUGGGAGGUAGAGGUUGCAGUGAGCCGAGAUCACCCCACUGCACUCCAGACAGAGCUAGACUCCAUCUCCAAAAAAAAAAAAAAAAAAGCAAAUUACCCCAAAACUAGCAGCAUGAGACUAUAAAUGUUUAUCAUUUCACAUAGUUCCUGAGAACCAUCCAGUGAGCUGCUUCACUGGAUGGUUCUGGCUCACAGUCUCUGAUAAGGUUGCAAUCAGAAUGUCACUGGGGGCUUCUGUCAUUUGAAACCUUGACCAGGGCUGGUGGAUCCACUUCUGAGAAGGCUUCUUCACUCUUCUAAGGAGGCUCAGCAACUCACAUGGUUGCUGGCAAAAGGUUUGUCACGUGAACUGUCCCAUGACAUGGCAGCUGGUUUUCUCCAGACCAAGUGGGGAUGGAGAGAAAGACAAAAAGAAUGACCAAGAUGGUGGCUGCAAUGUCUUUUAUAACCGAAUCUCAGAAGUGACAUACCAUCACUUCUGCCAUAUUCUAUGGUCGCACAAACCAACCCUGGUACAAUAUGGGAAGGGACUGUACAAGGAUGUGAAUAUUCAGAGACAGGGAGGCCGGCUACCAGGCCACAGCUGGUUUUCUUUUCUUUUUUUUUUUUUUUUUGAGACGGAGUUUUGUUCUUGUUGACCGCCCAGGCUGGAGUGCAAUGGCACGAUCUCAGCUCACCGCAACCUCUGCCUCCUGAGUUCAAGUGAUUCUCCUGCCUCAGCCUCCCGAGUAGCUGGGAUUACAGGUAAGGGUCACCACGCCCGGCUAAUUUUGUAUUUUUAGUAGAGACAGGAUUUCUCCAUGUUGGUCAGGCUGGUCUCGAAUUCCCGACCUCAGGUGAUCCACCCGCCUCGGCCUCCCAAAGUGCUGGGAUUAUAGGCAUAUGACACCGCACCUGGCCACAACUAUUAAUAACAAUAAGAUAUUUUUUCUCAAAAGCAUGUUUUGGUUAUUAAAUAUAUAUUUCAAAUAUACAUUUAAAUGCAUAUUUCAAUAUAUUUAAUCUUAAACUUUUCAAAUAAUAAUAAAUAAUGAUAUUUACUUAGUACUUUCUAUAUGCCAAUCACUAUGUUAAGCAUGUGAUGUGAGACUGUCUCUCACAGACAGCCUCACAGUUGUCCAGGCAACCCUUAACAGCUCUAAAGGAUGCAUUUAUUAGUUGCCUCAUUUUACAGAAAGGAAACCUGAAGCACAGAGAGGUUUAAGUAACCUGCCCAAGGACACACAUCUAGUAAGUAAAUCAGCAUAUAAACCCAGAGCUAUCCACGUAAGUACCGACAGCAUGGCUAAGCUAUACUGAUUCUCUCUAGUCAGUUUUGUGAAAUAAAUCUCUAACUAUCGAUGCUUUGCAAGUUAAGUACUAUCAUUCUAUUUAAGCAGUUAAGGAUUUCCCUACAGUCACAGAGUAAAUAAACUAAGACUCAAAACUGGAAGUUAGGUUUGUGGAGUUCUGUCACAAUUAUGAUGACAAUAAUGACUCUGUCUUUUCUCCUACUACUCUCCUCUUCCCUGUCUCCUGUCCAGCCACGUUGCCUCCUGGCUGUUCCUGGAACACUCCAGGUGAUUCCAAAACUCCUCCUAGUUAAGAAACAAUGGAUCAAGCAUCCUCAUUUUACAGAUCGAGGAAACUGAGGCCCAGCAUGGUGCCAUGAUGACUCCAGAUCACUGAGGUACUAGGUGAAGUCUCCUAACUUCUAUUCCAGUACUUUUUUUUUAACUAUCUCUCCACUGACCAUAAUUUUUCAACUUUCCCCAUUAUGCCCCUAAUAUUCCAUUAUCCCUAAAAUUACAAUAUUUGGUUUGUAAAAUACAGACCCAAAAGCUAUGCUAUUCUUAGAAUAAUAAUAAACAACACUGCUUGAGAUUGUACAUAACAGGCAGCAGUAAGAGUGAAUCCUGACCCCAAAUCAAAGUGACAGUCAUUAUUGACACUUGACUCUUACAAGACAGUCACAGUUUACACUGUCUGUAUGCAGCAUUUUUGAUUACAUUGACUGAUUCAUUCCCCCAGUAACCCUGUGAAUGAGACAGGAAGGAUGUUAUCAGAACUGCUCCUUUGCAGUUGAGGUAAUUGAGAUUAGUUGAUGUGUUCGAGUUCAAACAACUCAUAAACGGCAGAAACAAGGUUCAAAUCCAGAUUUUGUCUCCAAGUUAGAAUAAGACAAUCUGAGGAUGAAUGAAAAUUUUGGCUUGUUUCUUGUCUUCUUUUCCAGCAUGAAUGAGCAACAAAGUGUUGAACACAAAAGUGUAAGAAACUUGCUGUUACUUGUUAGACUCUAAUAUCCCUGCUUGCUCCAAAGCCUUUCCUUCUCCAGAAGCUCCAUCCUCCUCUCCUCUUUGAGCCACACAUUCCCACCACACUGGAUAUUGUGAGGCUAGACCACUGAUUGCAGCAAAAACCUCAGCCUCAAUCAAAAUGCAUACACAUUACCCAAGAACCAUACCCCAACAUGCUCCCGUAUUUGUAGGGAUUCAUGGAGUAGAUUAACCAGUUAAUACUGAGUUCAUGUGGAGUUCGUAGCCAUGUUGACCAUCUCCUCAUAGAAUGAAUAUGGACCAAAGAACAAGAAACCUAGAAAUGAGAGCUUGGGAAGGUGGGGCCUAUGUUGAACAGGGAAGGUGUUUACUUCUUGUCAAAUUUUCACAUAUCCCGAAGGCAGACAUAGGCUUUCCUAGGGAGUGAAGCAGAAAUUCUACAAGAAUUUUAAAUAGAAAACUGGAAAGGGCCGCUGAAGCUGUGUCUUAGACUCUUAGGGGUACCAGGCUGCCUUCUGCAAUAAGAGAUCACUGACAGAGGAUUUGGGAAGCCGAACUCUAACCCACCUCCAUCAUUUGAGGUCUGUGCAGACAUGCCUAGAAUAAUUUGCCCAGGUGCCACCAUUAAGUACUCCAAUCCACACUUCAUGCUGCUGUUUUUCUAGUUAUCUACCCCUCCCAAUAGGGCAGCUUCUCAAUUACCUCUAGUGCCCUAUUGAUGACUCAUUGAUUUUAACAAUGGCAUUAGAACUUAGAACAAAGUUCUGUUGCCCCAGGAGCCAAGUCAAUCCCAAGUAACUUGUACAGACUCCCUAUACUAAACAAAUAUAUCUGAGGUACUGAUACCCAACUUACGAUGAGGUUAUGACAUCCCAAUGAACCCACUGUAAAUGGAAAACAUUGUGAGUUGAAAAUGCACUUACAUCUAACCUACCAAACAUCAUAGCUUAGCCUAGCCUACCUUAAAUCGCUCAGAACAUUUACCUUAGCCUACAGGUGGGCAGAAUCAUCAUCACAAACCUAUUUUAUAAUAAAGUUUGAAUUUCUCAUGUAAUUUAUUGAAUUCUGUACUGAAAGUGAAAAACAGAAUGGUUAUGGGGUACUUGCAGUGUGGUUUCUACUGAACACGUAUGGCUUUCACACCAUCAUAAAUUUGAAAAACCAUAAGCCAAACCAUUGUAAGUUGGGAACUGUCUGUAUUUGCAGGAGCAGCCUUCUAAGCUGUUCUCCGUGCCUGCAGCUCCCCUCCUCAACCAUCUUGUAUAUAUCCACUGGCUGAAUUUCCUAAAAUUCAGCAUAUCUUUCUUCUACAUAAAAAUAACUUCCAGGUCUUACUUUCUUGUCAGUUGGCUGAUAUAAAAUGUAAAAUUUCAUAUUAAAUUACAUUAAAUAUCAUUACCAUAUCAUAUUAAAUAUCAAUAAAGCAGAGCAGUCAUCUAGUUUUUUACUGCAAGAAGACAUAAAAAUUAGACUUUUGCCAUGAUUAAACUUUACUUUUACUGUGUUUAGAAGAGCAGAACAAAGUUGUAAGAAGCACAGAAGUUUAUGACUACUUGAAAUCAGAUAAAAAUUGUUUAUAUAAUUGAAGAGUCUUAAAAUACAGAAAAUAUUUGAGGUUUUUGCUUUUUAUUUUUUUAUAAUGACGGAAAUAUAAGUUCAGAAAAAGGUAGUAUCUCUAGCUGAAAGACCACUGGAACACUGAUUAAAAGCUUAUGUUAGAUUAAUUUUUAUUUAUAAAAGGCAGUACAGUGCACAGAUUAAGAGUGUGGCCUCUGUAGCCAGUGUGCCUGCAUCCAAAUCCUGCCUCUGCUACUCACAGGCUAUAUAACCUUGGAGAAGUUAUGUGACCUCUACAGACUUCAGUUUCCUCAUCUGUAAAAUGAGAAUAAUAAUAAUACCUACCCCAUAAGGCAGUUGUGAAGAUUAAAUGAGUUAAUAUUUAUACAGUACGUACUCAGCAUAGGUCUGACACAUAGUAAACAUUUUGUAAGAGGUAAUGGUGAUGAUGAUCAUGACGACGAUGAUGAUUACUUCAAGAGGAAAGACAGGAUCAAAUUCAGGGUUACAAAAUCAAAUUCAGAGUUACACGGACUUCUCCAGUUUCUCCUAUGUAUCCUGGUUAAGCAAUUGACUUUUGCAGGGCUGAAUCCUCAUUUGUAAAAUGGCAUCUAUGAUCAUAUGUAAAAUAAUCCUUUGAUUACAGCAAAUCUGGAGAUUUGCUUUCCUGUCUGAUAUUCAAUUAAUAAAGGUUCCAGUUCUAAUCUUUAGAGUCUGGUCAAAAAUUUUUGGAGUCAGGCGAGAUUCAUCCCAUUGCAAGAGAUGGAAAACACAAGUCAAACUGGCUAAAGACAACGGGAAACUUCUCAGCUCAUGGAACUGAAGAAGUCUAGGGGAAGCUCUGACUUCAGGUUCAGCUUGAUCAGAGCCUCAACCAGGGACCUCCGGACUCAGCUUCUCUACAUCUCUCUCUCUCUUUUUCUUUUCUUUUUUUUUUUUUUUUUGAGACAAUUCUCACUCUGUCACCCAGGCUGGAGUGUAGUGACACGAUCUUGGCUCACUGCAGCCUCCGCCUCCCAGGUUCAAGCGAUUCUCCUGCCUCAGCCUCCCGAGUAGCUGGGAUUACAGGCAUGCGCCACCACAUCCAGCUAAUUUGUAUUUUUAGUAGAGAUGAGGUUCCACCAUGUUGGCCGGGCUGGUCUCCAACUCCUGACCUGAAGUGAUCUGCCCGCCUCGGCCUCUCAAAGUGUUGGGAUUACAGGCGUGAACCACUGUGCCCAGCCUAUCUCUUUACUAAGCAGUUUUUGCUUUAUUCUCAGGUUCUAUGUAGAUCCAGGCUCUUGUAAUCAUUAUUGCAAACAGACCCAGACAAAAGGAACAGGUGAAUUUUCCUCAAUAACUCUGCUAAAGUUUCCUUGUACCUACAAAUGGCACAAGAGAUCUUUUUGUGAUUAUAGAAAUAUUCAAAAACCAGAUUUUUGUGGUUACUUUGAAAAUUUACUAAAAAUCAUUGAAUUGUAUACUUUAAAUGGGUGAAUUUUAUGGUAUGUAAAUUAUACCUUAACAAAGCCCUUAAAAACAGUUUCCUUGUAUCACUCUGACUCUGAGGGGUUCACAUGCCCAUUUCUCAAUGGGUCACUAUCUAUCACUGGAUCAGAGGAAUGUGAUGCUCUGAUUGGCCAGGCCUGAAUACCACACCCACUCCCUGAAGACAGGGAUAAAGUCAGUUUCAUCCAAAGCACAGUGACUGACAGUGAGGGUGGAGGGUGGUUCCCCAGUUGAAAAUCAGGUGAAUGAAUGCUGUUUCUUAAAGCCCAAGAACCAAAGUUGGUCUAGGACUAGUCCAGGCUUCCAGGGCCUCUCUGAACUCAAAUCUGGGCCUGGAUAGGCCAAAGCAUUGACACAUUUAUGUCUUAUGAGGCCUAACUUUUUUUUUUUGCAUUCUCCAUGGCAGAUGUCAAAGCAAAGCAAAAUGCAAUGAAGGUGGGAUGAAUCCCAUGCUGGAUUCUUAUUCUUGGAAACACUGAGAGUAACUAUCCCCAGAGAAAUCCAGAAAGUCCUUCUCUCUGCCUGGGUGCUGCCCAGUGCUCACUGGGGCCACUGCAGGCCACAGAUGUGGGAGGUGUACCGUGUUCCCUCUCCAUACCCCAUUCAGCAAGCCACCAGACCUGUGAUCCUUGAGAACAGACAAGGAACAAAUUAUCUACCUUUUUUCUUUUUGGUCACUUUAUAUCUUUUAUCUUGCCUCUCCUUAUCUCUCUCAAACUUGUUUGUCAAUGCUUUUGACUGUGGCUUCAAAGGAGGGAUGAGGUAAUGUAUUAGAAUGAACCAUGUCAUUUAAAUAAUUUACCAGGGCAAGGGGAGAAACAAUGCUUACAGUGCUUGAGGCUCUUUUAACUUUGUUGAAGAAUGGCAAAAUCACAACAAAAGCAGACACAUCUGGAGUGCUUCCCAGAGCAGAGGCACUGUGCUGAGCACUCUACAUCUCUUGUUCUUUUAAUCUUCACAACAUCCCUGAGAAGUGGAUAAUUUUUUCCGUGUUUUACAUGUGAGCAAUGGUUCAGAGAAGUUAGGUGAGGCCACACAGCUAGCCUGAAACAGAGAUGGGCCCUCUGUAAGGUGGGAACUUUUAAACAAAUAACUGCUUGUCUGCCUUUAACAAAUCUGGCUGUCAUCUGCAAGCCCCUUCAUAGUCACCGACAUAUCCUUGAAACCCCCUGGCUUCCAAUGGAAGGGGAAGUAGCUGCCCUCAGCUCACAAGUGCAGAAGCAGGGAGGAGCCACUGACCU